UACGGGGGGCGCAAGCGUUAUUCGGAAUUAUUGGGCGUAAAGGGCGCGUAGGCGGUCUUAUCGGUCAGAUGUGAAAGCCCGGGGCUCAACCCUGGAAGUGCAUUUGAAACAGUAAGACUUGAGUACGGGAGAGGAAAGCGGAAUUCCUGGUGUAGAGGUGAAAUUCGUAGAUAUCAGGAGGAACACCGAUGGCGAAGGCAGCUUUCUGGACCGAUACUGACGCUGAUGCGCGAAGGCGUGGGUAGCGAACAGG
This 253-nucleotide ribosomal RNA is filed under the name uncultured bacterium. RNAcentral describes it as "partial 16S ribosomal RNA". It matches the Rfam family "Bacterial small subunit ribosomal RNA", at positions 524 to 776 of the family's 1533-position model. The record is from RNAcentral.